RNAcentral lists this ribosomal RNA (119 nucleotides) under Pteropus alecto (black flying fox). The record is from RNAcentral. Lineage: Eukaryota; Metazoa; Chordata; Mammalia; Chiroptera; Pteropodidae.
AUCGACAACCACACUACCCUGAACAAGCAUGAUCUGGUCUGAUCUCAGAAGCUAAGCAGGGUGGGGCCUGGUUAGUAUUUGGAUGGGAGACCACCUAGGAAGACCAGGUGCUGUAGGCA